AGGGUUUGAUCCUGGCUCAGGGUGAACGCUGGCGGCGUGCCUAACACAUGCAAGUCGAUCGGAGCAGCAAUGCUUAGAGGCGAACGGGUGAGGAAAACGUAGUAACCAACCCUUUAGACUGGGAUAGCCACUGGAAACGGUGGGUAAUACCGGAUAAGCUCGAGAGAGGAAAGGCAGAGAAGCGCUAAAGGACGGAACUGCGCCCCAUCAGAUAGUUGGUGAGGUAAAGGCUUACCAAGUCAAAGACGGGAAACCGACGUGAGAGCGUGUACGGUCACAAGGGCACUGAGAGACGGGCCCUACUCCUACGGGAGGCAGCAGUGGGGAAUAUUGGACAAUGGACGAAAGUCUGAUCCAGCGACGCCGCGUGGAGGAAGAAGUCCUUCGGGAUGUAAACUCAUGAAGCUAACGAAUAAGACGGAAGGGGAACCUUCCGGGAGAAGGUAAUUAGUGAAAAGCCCCGGCUAACUACGUGCCAGCAGCCGCGGUAAUACGUAGGGGGCGAGCGUUGCCCGGAAUUACUGGGCGUAAAGGGAACGUAGGUGGCUCUUAAAGUCAGGUGUGAAAAUAACGAAGCUUAACAGGUUAAUGCGCUUGAAACUAAAGGGCUUGAGGGCAAUAGAGAGAGAGAGAGAGAGAGAAGCCGAUCUCCUGGGUUGACUCUGACACUGAGGUUCGAAAGCUAGGGGAGCAAACCGGAUUAGAUACCCGGGUAGUCCUAGCCGUAAACGAUGCUCACUGGGUGUGGGUCGAAAAGAUCUGUGCUGAAGCUAACGCGAUAAGUGAGCCGCCUGGGGAGUACGUCCGCAAGGAUGAGACUCAAAGGAAUUGACGGGGGUCCGCACAAGCGGUGGAGCAUGUGGUUUAAUUCGAUGCUAACCGAAGAACCUUACCAGGGUUGGACAUUGUGAUGGUAGUUGGUAGAGAUAUCAGCGACUUCUGCGAAUGCAGGAGAGUUACAAUCAGGUGGUGCACGGUCGUCGUCAGCUCGUGCCGUGAGGUGUUGGGUUAAGUCCCGCAACGAGCGCAACCCUUGCCGUUAGUUGCCAGCACGUAGAGGUGGGAACUCUAACGGGACAGCCGUCGACGAGACGGAGGAAGGAGAGGAUGACGUCAGAUAAUCGUGCCCCUUAUGCUCUGGGCGACACACGUGCUACAAUGGUAUGGACAGACGGCAGCAAAACCGAGAGGUCAAGCGAAUCCGAGAAACCAUACCUCAAUUCGGAUUGUAGUCUGAAACCCGACUACAUGAAACUGGAAUCGCUAGUAAUCGCAGGUCAGCCAAACUGCGGUGAAUACGUUCCCGGGCCUUGUACACACCGCCCGUCACGCCACCCGAGUUGGAGACGCCCGAAGAUGGUGCCGUUAACCGCAAGGAGACAAACUAUCGAGGGUGGAGCUAGUGAGGGGGGCGAAGUCGUAACAAGGUAGGUGUACCGGAAGGUGCGCCUG
This 1452-nucleotide ribosomal RNA is filed under the name metagenome. Its description in RNAcentral is "bacterial SSU rRNA". It matches the Rfam family "Bacterial small subunit ribosomal RNA". The record is from RNAcentral.